RNAcentral lists this long non-coding RNA (267 nucleotides) under Coffea arabica (coffee). Its description in RNAcentral is "long non-coding RNA (CARA_LNC000162)". The record is from RNAcentral. Lineage: Eukaryota; Viridiplantae; Streptophyta; Magnoliopsida; Gentianales; Rubiaceae.
UAGCAUUAGCAUUGUAUUUUCAAGUCUGUCAUCAAACCAAAACUAAAGAAAUUCAAGAAAAUAAUCGCCACACAGUAUCAUACUUGGGAACCAAAAGUAAGCUUUGGUAACAAUGAUCAAGUUAGAUCACAUGAUGGUGCAGUUAUUGGCGGUAUAAUCACCAUAGGGGUACGUAUGUGGGCGGUACGACGAUCCAUAACCUUGAUGAUAGUGAUUGUAAUAAUUAUAAGGAUUCUGGUGAUCUGCCAUUGUCGACCUCCUUGGUGG